This is a non-coding RNA of Cricetulus griseus (Chinese hamster), 1685 nucleotides long. The record is from RefSeq and is a predicted model, not a curated record. NCBI's taxonomy places the organism in Eukaryota, Metazoa, Chordata, Mammalia, Rodentia, Cricetidae.
GCAAGAUCCCCUAAAGCUGAGAUGAUACAGCCUUACAGACUACAAAAACAAGGACUUGUUACUACAAUUGGCUCUUGGUUUUCAUAUCAGACAACAGAGACUCAACUCACAAGAGGAGUUGUAGAAUAUCUUUCAACAUUAUUUAUGCUAGAAAUGUGGAGACAGUAAAGAAUGUUUGGUGGCUUUUUGACAAUAACAUUUUUUCUCUGAAAAAUCCCACUGAUGCUUGUCACUGAGUACUGUAUUACAAUCUCUGACAAAGUGUCUAGAUCCUUUUUGAAUAUCUCACACGGUGACAAGACUGGCAUGUUUCAAUUUCUCCUUUGCAAAAUACAUUGCUCCUUGAAAUUCAAGUAAAACAGGCUCAUCUCAAGUGACAAUAACAUUGUCAAAAUCAAAUCACACCUAUUUUGUAGCUUCUGGGCAACAUUUAUCCAGAGGUUUCUAACCAACGCACACACUAUUUUCUAAAUGUUACACUUCUUUAUACAGAUUUUUAAAAUGUCCAAGAAAUGUCUUUUCUUAGUGUAAACCAAAAUAUCUUUGUGCAUGUUACUCACAAAAUCCCUCAUGUUAGACUAUAAUACCUGAUGAUGAAAAUGACUUAGUUCACUAUCAAAUCUUUUGAUGAUGUGACCACCUUGACAGAGUGCAUAUAUGGCAAUUAUAUUCACAUAGCAUCUUUAUUUAUUUUUUACUUUUUUGGUUUUUCGAGACAGGGUUUCUCUGUGUAGCUUUGGAGCCUAUCCUGGCACUCGUUCUGGAGACCAGGCUGGCUUCGAACUCACAGAGAUCUGUCUGCCUCUGCCUCUGAGUGCUGGGAUUAAAGCUGUGUGCCACCCACGCCCAGCUUCUUUAUUUCUUAAAUAACAGAAAUAAUCUAACUGCAGCUUCAGGUACAUUUGACCACAGAGAUGUACUCUAUGAGAGAGACAGCUACUAAAAUGCACCUCUAGUUUCCAAGGUUGCCUCAUGUCUAGUCUUUAACAGAAGCCAAAUCUACUAAAAUACAGCUUCCAGUUUUUGUUAGUUCUCCUAAGUCUGUAUUCUUCCUUACAUGGGCUCAACAUUAUUUCUUAUUUCAGUGCUGAUUGCAAUUUGUAAAAAAAAAACUGUUGUAUUACAUACCUAUGAUAUAGCCAUUGCAAUAAUAUUUUUUGCUAUGAAACACAAUCUUACAAGUUUAAUGGAAUAGAAUUUCAUACAUUUAUUGUUUUAAUUUUAUUUAGUAUGAAGUCCAGGAAUUGUGUGGAUGGAAUCUCUGAUUUGAUAUAUCCAAAUGUCCUAAGGGGGCCAUAUAUCUUAAGGAUGCUUUACGGUUGUGCUUGUUAAUUUCAUUAGCUGUUAUAAUUAAUUCCCUUAUGAUUGUAAGAAUGAGGUCCUUUUUAUCCUGCAAACUCUGGAUCAAGUAUAACUCCUGGGAUGGAGAAGCUAUCUGUGGUUUCUUUCUGUAAUGUCUCUAUGGCAGCUUACAACAAGCAUAUUUUCCUUCUAGGCUAAUUGGAGAGACAGAAGGAAAAGAAACUGUACCUGUAUCUUGGUAGUUAUGAUACAUGACAAUUAGAAUGCCCCUUUGUUUGAUUUUCUGGAAAAGAAUCUCAUUUUAAAGGACUUAUGUGACUGAGUCAUUUGUACUCAGAAAGUCAACAUGACUCAAUGACAAAUAAAUUGAGAUCUGAAUUAUA